Molecule: non-coding RNA, 387 nt
Organism: Canis lupus familiaris (dog)
Lineage: Eukaryota; Metazoa; Chordata; Mammalia; Carnivora; Canidae
Source: the annotation of a RefSeq genome assembly
AUGGAGUGUGUGCUCGGCUGGGAUUCCCUUGUUGCUAUUUUAAAAGGUGUCCAGGGAGAGGUACAGCUGGUGGAGUCUGGGGAAGAUUUGGUGAAGCCUGGAGGGUCCCUGAGACUCUCCUGUGUGGCCUCUGGAUUCACCUUCAGUAGCAGUGAAAUGAGCUGGGUCCACCAGGCUCCAGGGCAGGGGCUGCAGUGGGUCUCAUGGAUUAGGUAUGAUGGAAGUAGCUCAAGGUAUGCAGACGCUGUGAAGGGCCGAUUCACCAUCUCCAGAGACAAAGCCAAGAACACGCUGUAUCUGCAGAUGAACAGCCUGAGAGCCGAGGACACGGCCAUAUAUUACUGUGCAGACACAUGGCUCUACAAGCCUAAUUCCCACCAGGAAUGA